AUCUGGGCGGCGGAAUUCAGAAUGACUGGCGUGCUCUCGCGCGUCGGUCGUUUGAUAUUUCCGUCGCCAACUAUCGCAGACGUCGCGACCUGUUCGCGGUCGGUCCCUGCUCGGAGGAGCCGUGUUCGAGUUCGUUGUGUGCGCGCUUCUGGCGCGUCACACGGCGAAGACGCGGAUCUCUGGCUGGCCGUCGGACAGUAUGCUUAACGGUGUCCGGUGUCGUCGUUUCGUACGCGCGGCAUCGGUACCGGUCAGCGACGAAUUCUUCGGGCCUCUUUCCGACCCGUCUUGAAACACGGACCAAGGAGUCUAACAUGCGCGCGAGUCGCGGGGUAUCGAGCGUACUUCGGUGCGUUCGUUAUGUUGCGAAACCCGUACAUGUCGAAGGCGUAAUGAAAGUGAAUGGGGAAGAUGGUGCUCCGAGUUCACGUUCCGCGAUCGUCGGUAUCGCGGCCGGACAUCCGCAUUCCCGGGGCGUCUCAACGGCCCGUCGCUGAUGCGGACAGUCGUCUUUCGGGGCGGCUGUCGGUCGGCGACGAACCGA
RNAcentral lists this ribosomal RNA (544 nucleotides) under Clavaspis herculeana. RNAcentral's name for it is "eukaryotic LSU rRNA". Lineage: Eukaryota; Metazoa; Arthropoda; Insecta; Hemiptera; Diaspididae. The record is from RNAcentral.